AACGAACGCUGGCAGCAUGCCUAACACAUGCAAGUCGAACGAGACCUUCGGGUCUAGUGGCGCACGGGUGCGUAACGCGUGGGAACCUGCCCUUAGGUUCGGAAUAACUCCCCGAAAGGGGUGCUAAUACCGGAUAAUGUCUUCGGACCAAAGAUUUAUCGCCUUUGGAUGGGCCCGCGUUGGAUUAGCUAGUUGGUAGGGUAAAAGCCUACCAAGGCGACGAUCCAUAGCUGGUCUGAGAGGAUGAUCAGCCACACUGGGACUGAGACACGGCCCAGACUCCUACGGGAGGCAGCAGUGGGGAAUAUUGGACAAUGGGCGAAAGCCUGAUCCAGCAAUGCCGCGUGAGUGAUGAAGGCCUUAGGGUUGUAAAGCUCCUUUACCCGGGAUGAUAAUGACAGUACCGGGAGAAUAAGCUCCGGCUAACUCCGUG
Molecule: ribosomal RNA, 433 nt
Filed under: uncultured bacterium
Lineage: Bacteria
Description: partial 16S ribosomal RNA
Rfam family: Bacterial small subunit ribosomal RNA
Source: RNAcentral